AACGAACGCUGGCGGCAUGCCUAACACAUGCAAGUCGAACGAGACCUUCGGGUCUAGUGGCGCACGGGUGCGUAACGCGUGGGAACCUGCCCUUAGGUUCGGAAUAACUCCCCGAAAGGGGUGCUAAUACCGGAUAAUGUCUUCGGACCAAAGAUUUAUCGCCUUUGGAUGGGCCCGCGUUGAAUUAGCUAGUUGGUAGGGUAAAAGCCUACCAAGGCGACGAUCCAUAGCUGGUCUGAGAGGAUGAUCAGCCACACUGGGACUGAGACACGGCCCAGACUCCUACGGGAGGCAGCAGUGGGGAAUAUUGGACAAUGGGCGAAAGCCUGAUCCAGCAAUGCCGCGUGAGUGAUGAAGGCCUUAGGGUUGUAAAGCUCUUUUACCCGGGAUGAUAAUGACAGUACCGGGAGAAUAAGCUCCGGCUAACUCCGUG
Molecule: ribosomal RNA, 433 nt
Filed under: uncultured bacterium
Lineage: Bacteria
Description: partial 16S ribosomal RNA
Rfam family: Bacterial small subunit ribosomal RNA
Source: RNAcentral